This 433-nucleotide ribosomal RNA is filed under the name uncultured bacterium. Its description in RNAcentral is "partial 16S ribosomal RNA". It matches the Rfam family "Bacterial small subunit ribosomal RNA", at positions 29 to 507 of the family's 1533-position model. The record is from RNAcentral.
AACGAACGCUGGCGGCAUGCCUAACACAUGCAAGUCGAACGAGACCUUCGGGUCUAGUGGCGCACGGGUGCGUAACGCGUGGGAACCUGCCCUUAGGUUCGGAAUAACUCCCCGAAAGGGGUCCUAAUACCGGUUAAUCUCUUCGGACCAAAGAUUUAUCGCCUUUGGAUGGGCCCGCGUUGGAUUAGCUAGUUGGUAGGGUAAAAGCCUACCAAGGCGACGAUCCUUAGCUGGUCUGGGAGGAUGAUCAGCCACACUGGGGCUGAGGCACGGCCCAGACUCCGACGGAGGGGAGCAGUGGGGAAUAUUGGACAAGGGGGGAAGGCCUGAUCAAGCAAUGCCGCGUGAGUGAUGAAGGCCUUAGGGUUGUAAAGCUCUUUUACCCGGGAUGAUAAUGACAGUACCGGGAGAAUAAGCUCCGGCUAACUCCGUG